RNAcentral lists this long non-coding RNA (2067 nucleotides) under Salmo salar (Atlantic salmon). RNAcentral's name for it is "lncRNA (ENSSSAG00000082678.1)". The record is from RNAcentral. Lineage: Eukaryota; Metazoa; Chordata; Actinopteri; Salmoniformes; Salmonidae.
GUUGAAUUAGUCUAUAUGCCCAUAAUUUCAUUUGAAAUUCUCCAAAGCUUUUUUCUGUCAUAUUUUAUAUCAUUUAUCUUAGUUUCAUAAUACAGCGUUUCUUCUUCUUUUUGUUCAGUUUAGCCACAUAAUUUCUCGGUUUGCCAAUCAGAUGUGCAGACAGAUUUAUUAGCCACUCCUUUUGCGUCAUCUCUCUCAACCACACAGUUUUUCAGUUCCUCAUCAAUCCACGGCACCUUGGCAGAUCUAACAGUUCGUUUCUUAAUAGGGUUAUGUCUAUCAAUAACUGGAAGGAGAAAUUUCAUAAAUAUUUGUAGAUCUUUAGUUGUUGUGGAGCUUUUGUCCCGAACUCAUUACGGUGUUUUAGGUGCCAAGCUUAUUAUCAUGUCGCAGCUGUGUGUAGGAGGGAAAUUCCUAGAUGUGAGAAGUGUGCAUUAGGGCAUGAGACAAAGAAAUGUGUAGUGUUGGUGGAAAUAAAUGUUGUGUGUUAACUGUAGGGCACCUUAGUGGCACCUAGUGGCACCUGUAGUGGCACCUUCAUUGGGGAGAACAGGCUCGUGGUAAUGGCUGGAGCAGAAUCAGUGGAAUGGUAUCAAAUACAUGGAAACCAUGUGUUUGAUGCCAUUCCAUUUGCUCCGUUCAAAACAUUAUUAUGAGCCGUCCUCACCUCAGCAGUGUCCACUGUUGUAGGCACUGUUGUAGGGGUACCCAUGGUGCUGGAGUUCAGAAGUGUUGGUUAUGAACUAUACCGCAGAAAUGAAACGUGAAUCACAGAAAAUAGAUGUGGUGGCAGCUGCAUAGAAGGACUUGGGUCUAUGGGAUUUUACUGCAUUAGAGUUACAAGGUGUGUUCAACAAUAGUGUUCCGUUCUCCCAGUCUUCCAGCUUGGAGUAGAAUCAGAUAGGACCAAGUAGUGGAAUAGUGGUGAGGUUUUAAUGGGUGUAGGGUUAGUUGGUAUAGUGGUGAAGUUUUAAUGGGUGUAGGGUUAGUUGGUAUAGUGGUGAGGUUUUAAUGGGUGUAGAGUUAGUUGGUAUAGUGGUGAAGUUUUAAUGGGUGUAGGGUUAGUUGGUAUAGUGGUGAGGUUUUAAUGGGUGUAGGGUUAGUUGGUAUAGUGGUGAAGUUUUAAUGGGUGUAGGGUUAGUUGGUAUAGUGGUGAGGUUUUAAUGGGUGUAGGGUUAGUUGGUAUAGUGGUGAGGUUUUAAUGGGUGUAGGGUUAGUUGGUAUAGUGGUGAGGUUUUAAUGGGUGUAGGGUUAGUUGGUAUAGUGGUGAAGUUUUAAUGGGUGUAGGGUUAGUCAGUAGGGACAUUUGUCUUCCCUUUUCCCUUUUUGUGUCACAAAGUGCAAUGAAUUCACACUCCAGAACAGUAGGUGGCGGUGUACGCAUCCCUUCAGUUGGUUGCGAUCCAACAAUACAUAUUUGAAGAAGAAGAAGAAAGUUGUGCUGACAGACUGUUCACAUGCUGUUUCCUAACCCAAGUGUUGGAACUGUUACUGGGAAUAAGAUUGGGUGCCAAAUCAGUGUGGGCUAGUUACUUUACCGUGUAAUGUGACUGUGUAAGAUUGGUUUGUUAGCUACGCUUUUACACAGCUGUUUGCCAGCUUCCUGCUAAUUCCAGCAUUGUUUGUUUGUGUGUGUCCGUGCAUGCUAUCUCGUUUUAGUAUGGUUAUCAUUGCUACAAGUGUGUUCGUUGAGCGCAACAACCCUACUUACUAGUGUGUUAUUAGCAAUGUUUGUAUUACUUGCGUGAUACCGCUGCAAUAUGUAUAGCCCAUAUGUUACUGCUAUAGUAGCUUGAUCCACUAUACAAAUUCUUGAAGAUCCCAGAAUGUUCUAGUCCUUUCUGUGCACUGGCGCAGGCUCUGUAGCCCUGUGAUAAAGAUCUCAGUCAGGCCAUAGAUUGACCCUUAAAGCUCCACGGUCUUAGAUUUCUCUCUCUUUGGCCAUGAAUAUUCUUACUGAUGUCUAGGACAUUUCUUAUUUGAUUUAACUAGGAAAGUCAGUUAAGUACAAAUUUGUAUUUACAAUGACAGCCUACCCUGGCCAAACACUAACCCGGAUGACGCUGG